CUGCCAGUGACCAAGUUCAACGGCCGCGGUAUCCUAACCGUGCGAAGGUAGCGUAAUCACUUGUUCUUUAAAUGAGGACUAGUAUGAAUGGCACCACGAGGGCUAUACUGUCUCCUUUUUCUAAUCAAUGAAACUGAUCCCCCCGUGAAGAAGCGGGGAUAAACAUAUAAGACGAGAAGACCCUAUGGAGCUUUAAACAAAAUAGCACUGGCCCCCCUCUUCCUACCUUCCAGAAACAUAACACCAAUACUGGCCAAAAUGACUAUUAGUUUUAGGUUGGGGUGACCACGGAGCAAAAAUUAACCUCCACAUUGAACGGAAAUACUCCUGAGCCAAAAGCUACGACUUUAAGCACCAAUAAACUGACAUUAAUUGACCCAAUAUUUUGAUCAACGAACCAAGUUACCCUAGGGAUAACAGCGCAAUCCAUUUCAAGAGCUCCUAUCGACAAAUGGGUUUACGACCUCGAUGUUGGAUCAGGGUACCCCAGUGG
Molecule: ribosomal RNA, 493 nt
Filed under: Dendropsophus leali (Leal's treefrog)
Lineage: Eukaryota; Metazoa; Chordata; Amphibia; Anura; Hylidae
Description: partial 16S ribosomal RNA
Rfam family: Bacterial large subunit ribosomal RNA
Source: RNAcentral